This 215-nucleotide ribosomal RNA is filed under the name uncultured bacterium. RNAcentral's name for it is "partial 16S ribosomal RNA". It matches the Rfam family "Bacterial small subunit ribosomal RNA", at positions 118 to 351 of the family's 1533-position model. The record is from RNAcentral.
UGGGAACGUACCCUUCAGUUCGGAAUAACCCAGGGAAACUUGGGCUAAUACCGGAUACGUCCGUAAGGAGAAAGAUUUAUCGCUGAAGGAUCGGCCCGCGUCGGAUUAGCUAGUUGGUGGGGUAACGGCCACCAAGGCGACGAUCCGUAGCUGGUCUGAGAUGAUGAUCAGCCACACUGGGACUGAGACACGGCCCAGACUCCUACGGGAGGCAG